RNAcentral lists this transfer RNA (59 nucleotides) under Nothopoda sp. Its description in RNAcentral is "tRNA-Leu". The record is from RNAcentral. Lineage: Eukaryota; Metazoa; Arthropoda; Arachnida; Trombidiformes; Eriophyidae.
CUCAAUUUGGCAGAAUUUAAUGCAUAAAAUUUAAGAUUUUAUUAUAGUUAUUAAACUUU